Molecule: ribosomal RNA, 540 nt
Filed under: uncultured bacterium
Lineage: Bacteria
Description: bacterial SSU rRNA
Rfam family: Bacterial small subunit ribosomal RNA
Source: RNAcentral
UGGGGAAUAUUGCACAAUGGGCGCAAGCCUGAUGCAGCAAUGCCGCGUGUGUGAAGAAGGCCUGCGGGUUGUAAACUGCUUUUAUUUGGGAAUAAACCUUCUUACGUGUAGGAAGCUGAAUGUACCAAAUGAAUAAGCGUCGGCUAACUCCGUGCCAGCAGCCGCGGUAAUACGGAGGAUGCAAGCGUUAUCCGGAUUUAUUGGGUUUAAAGGGUACGUAGGCGGAAAAUUAAGUCAGUAGUGAAAUCCUGCAGCUUAACUGUAGAACUGUUAUUGAUACUGGUUUUCUUGAAUUUAGUUGAGGUAGGCGGAAUGUGUAAUGUAGCGGUGAAAUGCUUAGAUAUUACACAGAACACCGAUUGCGAAGGCAGCUUACUAAGCUAUGAUUGACGCUGAGGUACGAAAGCGUGGGGAGCGAACAGGAUUAGAUACCCUGGUAGUCCACGCCGUAAACGAUGAUCACUCGAUGUGUGCGAUAAACUGUACGCGUCCAAGCGAAAGCGUUAAGUGAUCCACCUGGGGAGUACGUUCGCAAGAAUG